This 3844-nucleotide long non-coding RNA is filed under the name Sus scrofa (pig). RNAcentral describes it as "lncRNA (ENSSSCG00060004517.1)". Lineage: Eukaryota; Metazoa; Chordata; Mammalia; Artiodactyla; Suidae. The record is from RNAcentral.
UAAGACAAUGUCCUUAAGUUAGUCUUGGAUUUUAAAUGGCCGGUUCAGCCUAAUGUAUCACUUCCUGUGACCAGGAUGGCAGCAAAAAAGACCAUAUUGCACAACUGAUUUUGAAUUUUGUGAAUUUUAAGCUCAUGUGAAGCAGGAAAUUUAAGUGUUAUUUAUAAUAAGUAUAGCCAAGAAGGUAUACCUCCUUUCUCAAGUCUUAGAAGGAAUAUUGCUGUGCUUUCUGAAUUAGAGAAAAUAAGACUGCCUUUAUUUAUUUAUUUUGAUUCUUUACUGUUUUUGUCAGUCAGGGAAAUUCUAGAGACAGGUUGGUAUUAUUUAAGAAAACUGAAAUCCAUCAAUUAUAUUAAUUAUCUUAAAAUCUUCAGACCAAAAAAAUUUCCCUUAACUUCUUUAUUUGAAUUUUUGUAAAUAUUUUCUUAUAGUCUGAUAUUUAUGGUACAAAAUUUAUUCAUACUAGUUAUUAAAAUAAAUACAUAUUUGUUUAAGACUCUUUCCUGUCCUGCUUGGUAGUGGUCUUAUACUUUUGGUGGUUGUUGUAGUCGCAAAACACAAACUGGAAAACUUUUUUUUUUAAUUUUAUUGAAGUAUAGUUGAGUUACAGUGUUGUGAUAGUGUCUAUUGUACAGCAAAGUGAUUCAGUUGUACGUAUACACACAUCCAUUCUUUUUCAGAUUCUUUUCCCGUAUAGGUUAUCACAGAAUAUUGGGUAGAGUUCUCUAAGCUCUACAGCAGGUCUCCACUGGCUAAUCAUUUUGUAAGAAUGACUUAAGAAAAUUAAUUUACAUUUGAAAGCAACAUUAUGUUGUGAUUUUAUAAGGUAAUCACAAUUGCCAUAAGUUAAUCACAAUUGCCAUAAGCAACAAAGUUUAAGUAUGCUAAAAAGCUAAACUAGCCCUUUGUAUUUAAAACAAACAAAUAAAAAACCCUCUUGCCAAAGUGUAUAAAGGGAACAUAUCUUAACAUAAUAAAAGCCAUUUAUGACAAACUCGCAGCAAAUAUAAUACUCAAUGGAGAAAAGCCUAAAGACUUCCCACUCAAAUCUGGAACAAGACAAGGAUGCCCACUCUUUCCACUGUUAUUCAACAUAGUAUUGGAAGUCCUAGCCACAGCAGCCAGACAAACAAAAGAAAUAAAAGGCCUCCAAAUUAGAAGAGAGGAGGUAAAACUGUCACUGUUUGCAGAUGACAUGAUAACUAUAUAUGGAAAAUUCUAAGGACUCAACCCAAAAACUACUUGAACUGAUCAACAAAUUCAGCAAAGUAGCAGGAUAUGAUUAACACUCAGAAAUCAGUCGCAUUUCUGUAGACUAACAAUGAAAUAUUAGAAAAGGAAUACAAAAAUACAAUACCUUUUAAAGUUGCACCCCAAAAAAUCAAAUACCUGGGCAUACACCUGAACAAGAAGGUAAAGGACUUAUAUGCCAAGAACUAUAACACAUUAAUCAAGGAAAUUAAAGAAGAUGUAAAGAAAUGGAAAGAUAUUCCAUGCUCCUAGGUUGGAAAAAUUAAUAUUGUAAAAAUGGCCGUACUACCCAAAGCAAUCUACAUAUUCAAUGCAAUUGCUACCAAAUUACCCAUGACAUUUUUCGCAGAACUAGAACAAACAAUCACUAUAAAAGCAUUUCAGUGACUCAGUUUCAAUCUAUAGGCGUAAUAAAUUAGAAUAUAGUAGAUGGCUGAUUUUAUACAACAGUUGUAGACUGGUAUAUUUGGUAAGUUUUGUAUUCUGGUUACUGGGUAUUCAGGUUACUCUACCAUAGAGGUCUAAAUUCUAAAGAGUUAUUACUGAAACUAAAAUCAGUGAAUGACUUGAACUUAACUUCUCUACGGAGUUUAAGGGACUUUAAGUAUCUUUGAGCAUCUUGAAUGAAUAUUUGAAUAUCAUCAUGUUAUAGAGUAUUUUAGAUGUAGAAAAGGUUUUUUUUUUUUUGAUGUUCCUUUUUGAAAUAUACUUUGGUAUCACUUUAUUUCUCAUAAUUUUUGAAUCAUAGAAAAUCCCAUUGUUUGUAUAUUUUAGGCAUAUGAAGUUUAAUACUGGAAAUAUAUACUGCAAAAAGAGAAAAUAAAGUAAUAAUAUGAAAACAUAUAUAAGAUAUUAAAGAAAUUUUAAGGAAAUCUCGCAGAUAACUUGCAAUACUCAUUUUCAACAUUUAGCUUGUGUUUUUAAAGGGUAUGGCAGAAUGUAUAGAGUAUUUGAAUUUUACAUUAAAAUAAUUGUCCAUGGCCAAAUACACUUUUGUCAUGUGUUCCUUUGGUUCCACAGUGUUUUUUGUUUGUUUUGCUCUUUGUUUUGAGGCCAACACUUAUAAUAAAGAUUUCGCAUAAAAAUUCUCAGAUUGCUAGCUUUUAUUGAAAAUGUUGAUGCAGAGAAAAGGAUGUUCUUAUAAUUCACAGACCCUGUCCUCUUACACACCCUUGUUAUAUGCCUUGUCUCUCUGUUUCAUUGACUUACAGAGAGCUAGGUGUAGUUUUGUAGUGGUGGAUGAGUUCUCGAGCCAUAUGGGGUGGGGUCAGAUUCUGGCUUUGACACUUAACUAGUUGUGUGACUGUAAACAAAUUCCUUAAUCUCUCUGUAUCUCCGUUUUCUGUUUGGUAAAAUGAAAAUGAUGAUGGGUUGUUAGGAUGAAAUGAUGAGUGUACAUGAAGUGUUUUAGAGUAGUUUUUAUCACAUACUUAUUGCUCAAUAGAUGUUAACUGCAAUUAAUAAUGCUUUUUUGCCUGACCCCAUUAGGUAUUUAAGUUUGGUGAUCCUUACUUCUCCAUAGUAAAGGAUUUUAUGUUUUAAUCUGCUCAUUCAUCUGAUCAGUAGUAUUUAUCAGAUUCUCUGUUGUAGUAUAAUUAUCUUUAUUUUGCUAUCUUCUACCAAAUUAGAUUCCCCAGAGUUCCAUCUCUGUGGUUAGCGUUCCAUGUGUGUUAAUUGAUUUGUACUUAUAAGAAGUAAGAACUGACAAUUUCAGAUUUAUGGAUUUAGGAUUUAUGGCUUUACAAAUUCUUACUGUCCAUUGGAAACAAAAGUUCUGCUUUCCCAAGUGUUGGUUUUUCCUAACCCUCUGCCUCUUUUGUUUUAACUGUAAUUCCAGUGGGAAAGGAUUUGUUAACAUCUGACCAUGAGUGAAGUGGCUGAGAGUUAGAGGGUUCUGAUAAAAAUCAGAUGAUAUUCCACAGUGAUUUUACAAAGUGAGAGUUUUAGAAAGAAAGUAAAAUAAAGGAGCAUUGUGUGUUGGGAAAAUAUUGGUCAAGGAUUUGUGUGUUCAUGGACUUCUGGAAUUUUUCUCUGGAAGUGGAGACUAUAUCCUGUAAAAUUACAUACUCAUUUUGCUUGGACUUGCUUUUCCAGUUUAGCAUUCCACCUUUCCUCUUCCUAUCAUGUCCUCCGCUCUUGAAAUUGAAAAUAAUAUGUUACUUAUAUUAUUUUGGAUGAAAAUUAGUGAACCCAGUCUGUUUUUUGAAAGAUUCUGAUUUCAGAAGGUCAUUUGUACUUUAUGUACAUAAAAAAAUUAUAAGUAGUUAGGACCGCUUGGAAGUUAAAAAAAAAUGUAAUUUCGGAGUUCCCGUCGUGGCGCAGUGGUUAACGAAUCCAACUAGGAACCAUGAGGUUGCGGGUUCGGUCCCUGCCCUUGCUCAGUGGGUUAACGAUCCGGCGUUGCCGUGAGCUGUGGUGUAGGUUGCAGACGCGGCUCGGAUCCCAUGUUGCUGUGGCUCUGGCUUAGGCCGGUGGCUACAGCUCUGAUUCAACCCCUAGCCUGGGAACCUCCAUAUGCCGCGGGAGUGGCCCAAGAAAUAGCAAAAAAAGACCAAAAAAAAAAAAAAAUUGUUAUUUCUAAAAAAAAAAAAAA